GUCUCUUGGACAUAUGAGCUACGCUGCGAGCGCCCGCCUGGCCUCCUGCCUGCCAAGAAGUUAGUAGUAAGUAGAACAGCCCUGGAUUUAAGAUGAUUUCAAUACUUUAACAAUACCCACAAGUUAGAUAUGAUUAUACUACAGUGAGCGGGGCCCGGU
This is a long non-coding RNA of Bufo bufo (common toad), 159 nucleotides long. RefSeq lists it as uncharacterized. NCBI's taxonomy places the organism in Eukaryota, Metazoa, Chordata, Amphibia, Anura, Bufonidae. The transcript is spliced from 3 exons. The record is from RefSeq and is a predicted model, not a curated record.